Molecule: ribosomal RNA, 821 nt
Filed under: Escherichia coli
Lineage: Bacteria; Pseudomonadati; Pseudomonadota; Gammaproteobacteria; Enterobacterales; Enterobacteriaceae
Description: partial 23S ribosomal RNA
Rfam family: Bacterial large subunit ribosomal RNA
Source: RNAcentral
GGGACACGUGGUAUCCUGUCUGAAUAUGGGGGGACCAUCCUCCAAGGCUAAAUACUCCUGACUGACCGAUAGUGAACCAGUACCGUGAGGGAAAGGCGAAAAGAACCCCGGCGAGGGGAGUGAAAAAGAACCUGAAACCGUGUACGUACAAGCAGUGGGAGCACGCUUAGGCGUGUGACUGCGUACCUUUUGUAUAAUGGGUCAGCGACUUAUAUUCUGUAGCAAGGUUAACCGAAUAGGGGAGCCGAAGGGAAACCGAGUCUUAACUGGGCGUUAAGUUGCAGGGUAUAGACCCGAAACCCGGUGAUCUAGCCAUGGGCAGGUUGAAGGUUGGGUAACACUAACUGGAGGACCGAACCGACUAAUGUUGAAAAAUUAGCGGAUGACUUGUGGCUGGGGGUGAAAGGCCAAUCAAACCGGGAGAUAGCUGGUUCUCCCCGAAAGCUAUUUAGGUAGCGCCUCGUGAAUUCAUCUCCGGGGGUAGAGCACUGUUUCGGCAAGGGGGUCAUCCCGACUUACCAACCCGAUGCAAACUGCGAAUACCGGAGAAUGUUAUCACGGGAGACACACGGCGGGUGCUAACGUCCGUCGUGAAGAGGGAAACAACCCAGACCGCCAGCUAAGGUCCCAAAGUCAUGGUUAAGUGGGAAACGAUGUGGGAAGGCCCAGACAGCCAGGAUGUUGGCUUAGAAGCAGCCAUCAUUUAAAGAAAGCGUAAUAGCUCACUGGUCGAGUCGGCCUGCGCGGAAGAUGUAACGGGGCUAAACCAUGCACCGAAGCUGCGGCAGCGACACUAUGUGUUGUUGGGUAGGGGAGCGUUC